Molecule: ribosomal RNA, 253 nt
Filed under: uncultured bacterium
Lineage: Bacteria
Description: partial 16S ribosomal RNA
Rfam family: Bacterial small subunit ribosomal RNA
Source: RNAcentral
UACGUAAGUGGCAAGCGUUAUCCGGAUUUAUUGGGCGUAAAGGGAACGCAGGCGGUCUUUUAAGUCUGAUGUGAAAGCCUUCGGCUUAACCGGAGUAGUGCAUUGGAAACUGGGAGACUUGAGUGCAGAAGAGGAGAGUGGAACUCCAUGUGUAGCGGUGAAAUGCGUAGAUAUAUGGAAGAACCCCAGUGGCGAAAGCGGCUCUCUGGUCUGUAACUGACGCUGAGGUUCGAAAGCGUGGGUAGCAAACAGG